This 2928-nucleotide ribosomal RNA is filed under the name Salmonella enterica subsp. enterica serovar Enteritidis. RNAcentral describes it as "bacterial LSU rRNA". It matches the Rfam family "Bacterial large subunit ribosomal RNA". Lineage: Bacteria; Pseudomonadati; Pseudomonadota; Gammaproteobacteria; Enterobacterales; Enterobacteriaceae. The record is from RNAcentral.
GGGUUGUGAGGUUAAGCGACUAAGCGUACACGGUGGAUGCCCUGGCAGUCAGAGGCGAUGAAGGGCGUGCUAAUCUGCGAUAAGCGCCGGUAAGGUGAUAUGAACCGUUAUAACCGGCGAUACCCGAAUGGGGAAACCCAGUGUGAUUCGUCACACUAUCAUUAACUGAAUCCAUAGGUUAAUGAGGCGAACCGGGGGAACUGAAACAUCUAAGUACCCCGAGGAAAAGAAAUCAACCGAGAUUCCCCCAGUAGCGGCGAGCGAACGGGGAGGAGCCCAGAGCCUGAAUCAGCAUGUGUGUUAGUGGAAGCGUCUGGAAAGGCGCGCGAUACAGGGUGACAGCCCCGUACACAAAAGCGCAUGUGCUGUGAGCUCGAUGAGUAGGGCGGGACACGUGGUAUCCUGUCUGAAUAUGGGGGGACCAUCCUCCAAGGCUAAAUACUCCUGACUGACCGAUAGUGAACCAGUACCGUGAGGGAAAGGCGAAAAGAACCCCGGCGAGGGGAGUGAAAAAGAACCUGAAACCGUGUACGUACAAGCAGUGGGAGCACAGGUUUACCUGUGUGACUGCGUACCUUUUGUAUAAUGGGUCAGCGACUUAUAUUCUGUAGCAAGGUUAACCGAAUAGGGGAGCCGGAGGGAAACCGAGUCUUAAUUGGGCGUUAAGUUGCAGGGUAUAGACCCGAAACCCGGUGAUCUAGCCAUGGGCAGGUUGAAGGUUGGGUAACACUAACUGGAGGACCGAACCGACUAAUGUUGAAAAAUUAGCGGAUGACCUGUGGCUGGGGGUGAAAGGCCAAUCAAACCGGGAGAUAGCUGGUUCUCCCCGAAAGCUAUUUAGGUAGCGCCUCGUGAAUUCAUCUCCGGGGGUAGAGCACUGUUUCGGCUAGGGGGCCAUCCCGGCUUACCAACCCGAUGCAAACUGCGAAUACCGGAGAAUGUUAUCACGGGAGACACACGGCGGGUGCUAACGUCCGUCGUGAAGAGGGAAACAACCCAGACCGCCAGCUAAGGUCCCAAAGUCAUGGUUAAGUGGGAAACGAUGUGGGAAGGCCCAGACAGCCAGGAUGUUGGCUUAGAAGCAGCCAUCAUUUAAAGAAAGCGUAAUAGCUCACUGGUCGAGUCGGCCUGCGCGGAAGAUGUAACGGGGCUAAACCAUGCACCGAAGCUGCGGCAGCGACACUGUGUGUUGUUGGGUAGGGGAGCGUUCUGUAAGCCUGCGAAGGUGGCCUGUGAGGGUUGCUGGAGGUAUCAGAAGUGCGAAUGCUGACAUAAGUAACGAUAAAGCGGGUGAAAAGCCCGCUCGCCGGAAGACCAAGGGUUCCUGUCCAACGUUAAUCGGGGCAGGGUGAGUCGACCCCUAAGGCGAGGCCGAAAGGCGUAGUCGAUGGGAAACGGGUUAAUAUUCCCGUACUUGGUGUUACUGCGAAGGGGGGACGGAGAAGGCUAUGUUGGCCGGGCGACGGUUGUCCCGGUUUAAGCGUGUAGGUGUGUGUUCCAGGUAAAUCCGGUUCACUUUAACACUGAGGCGUGACGACGAGGCACUACGGUGCUGAAGCAACAAAUGCCCUGCUUCCAGGAAAAGCCUCUAAGCAUCAGGUAACACGAAAUCGUACCCCAAACCGACACAGGUGGUCAGGUAGAGAAUACCAAGGCGCUUGAGAGAACUCGGGUGAAGGAACUAGGCAAAAUGGUGCCGUAACUUCGGGAGAAGGCACGCUGAUAUGUAGGUGAAGCGGUUUACCCGUGGAGCUGAAAUCAGUCGAAGAUACCAGCUGGCUGCAACUGUUUAUUAAAAACACAGCACUGUGCAAACACGAAAGUGGACGUAUACGGUGUGACGCCUGCCCGGUGCCGGAAGGUUAAUUGAUGGGGUCAGCGCAAGCGAAGCUCCUGAUCGAAGCCCCGGUAAACGGCGGCCGUAACUAUAACGGUCCUAAGGUAGCGAAAUUCCUUGUCGGGUAAGUUCCGACCUGCACGAAUGGCGUAAUGAUGGCCAGGCUGUCUCCACCCGAGACUCAGUGAAAUUGAACUCGCUGUGAAGAUGCAGUGUACCCGCGGCAAGACGGAAAGACCCCGUGAACCUUUACUAUAGCUUGACACUGAACAUUGAGCCUUGAUGUGUAGGAUAGGUGGGAGGCUUUGAAGUGUGGACGCCAGUCUGCAUGGAGCCGACCUUGAAAUACCACCCUUUAAUGUUUGAUGUUCUAACGUGGACCCGUUACCCGGGUUGCGGACAGUGUCUGGUGGGUAGUUUGACUGGGGCGGUCUCCUCCUAAAGAGUAACGGAGGAGCACGAAGGUUGGCUAAUCCUGGUCGGACAUCAGGAGGUUAGUGCAAUGGCAUAAGCCAGCUUGACUGCGAGCGUGACGGCGCGAGCAGGUGCGAAAGCAGGUCAUAGUGAUCCGGUGGUUCUGAAUGGAAGGGCCAUCGCUCAACGGAUAAAAGGUACUCCGGGGAUAACAGGCUGAUACCGCCCAAGAGUUCAUAUCGACGGCGGUGUUUGGCACCUCGAUGUCGGCUCAUCACAUCCUGGGGCUGAAGUAGGUCCCAAGGGUAUGGCUGUUCGCCAUUUAAAGUGGUACGCGAGCUGGGUUUAGAACGUCGUGAGACAGUUCGGUCCCUAUCUGCCGUGGGCGCUGGAGAACUGAGGGGGGCUGCUCCUAGUACGAGAGGACCGGAGUGGACGCAUCACUGGUGUUCGGGUUGUCAUGCCAAUGGCACUGCCCGGUAGCUAAAUGCGGAAGAGAUAAGUGCUGAAAGCAUCUAAGCACGAAACUUGCCCCGAGAUGAGUUCUCCCUGAGACUUAAAGUCUCCUGAAGGAACGUUGAAGACGACGACGUUGAUAGGCCGGGUGUGUAAGCGCAGCGAUGCGUUGAGCUAACCGGUACUAAUGAACCGUGAGGCUUAACCUUACAACGCCGAAG